This 492-nucleotide ribosomal RNA is filed under the name uncultured bacterium. RNAcentral describes it as "partial 16S ribosomal RNA". It matches the Rfam family "Bacterial small subunit ribosomal RNA", at positions 29 to 507 of the family's 1533-position model. The record is from RNAcentral.
AGUGAACGCUGGCGGUAUGCCUAACACAUGCAAGUCGAACGGCAGCACAGUAAGAGCUUGCUCUUACGGGUGGCGAGUGGCGGACGGGUGAGGAAUACAUCGGAAUCUACUUUUUCGUGGGGGAUAACGUAGGGAAACUUACGCUAAUACCGCAUACGACCUACGGGUGAAAGCAGGGGAUCUUCGGACCUUGCGCGAUUGAAUGAGCCGAUGUCGGAUUAGCUAGUUGGCGGGGUAAAGGCCCACCAAGGCGACGAUCCGUAGCUGGUCUGAGAGGAUGAUCAGCCACACUGGAACUGAGACACGGUCCAGACUCCUACGGGAGGCAGCAGUGGGGAAUAUUGGACAAUGGGCGCAAGCCUGAUCCAGCCAUACCGCGUGGGUGAAGAAGGCCUUCGGGUUGUAAAGCCCUGUUGUUGGGAAAGAAAAGCAGCAGGUUAAUACGCCGCUGUUCUGACGGUACCCAAAGAAUAAGCACCGGCUAACUUCGUG